CCGCCGGGGCGGACCCCACGCGUCCCCCUGGACCCCUCGCGCUGCCCGGGGCCCCCAACGCACGGCCGACCCCAACUGAACGCCUUCAGCAGCAACUCGCGGCUCAGACGAGGAAACUCCGGCCCCCCCGAGGGCGGCCCAGCAGUCAGGCCUGCUUCCUCUGCAAAUGUCACAGACCAACCAGAGAUCUUGUUUUUUUUGUUUUUGUUUUUUUAAGGGUUUAUUGGCAGGAGGGGGGGAAUUUCACAGCCCAGAAGGAAGAACUACGGGAACCAGGGGUGAGGACUGCAACACUGGCUGUUGACCGACAUCCAAAAUCUGUCACCGCAACUGAACAGCGUGACCUUGGACAAGUCAUUGAAAUUUCACGUGGCCGUUCCCUCACCUGUCACGGGGGCAUACUCCUACUCCUACUUCCCUUGGCGGGGUAGUAGUUGAGGAUGAAGCGAGAUGACUGUAACUUGCCUGCCACAGGGUCUGCGCACGGAAUUUUCUUUAGUCACCUACGUGGACAUGAUUUAUGGCUGCCCCAGAGGAAAAAUGAAAAAAAGUCAGCCAAGGGGCAGGGAUAUAUAAUCUCCAACUACAGUGUAACAGCAAUGAAAUCUUCAAAAACACAUUCUUUUGUUCUCAAAGUCCAAAAUUUUCACUUCUGAACAAAGAGUGUAUUGGGAAUGACUCCAAGAGCUGAGGCUGGGAGAUGGGAUGGCAAAGGAAACACCAUCCCGAUGGAGCUUCAGGUUGCAUUACCUGAAUCCUUCUGGAUCACCACUUAUAAUGAAAGCAUGCAUCACCCCAUGUCUGUUUCACUAUCAAUAAGGGAUAAGCUUUCAUUGCUUUUCUAUUCAGUCCAAUGGUAUAAGACAUGCUGGGUAAAGACAUUCUCCUUGAAGAUUCAAAGAAAGGGCAGAUGGAUGGCACUGUCUGAAUCUCCUUCUGUGGCCAGCCGAGGAGAGAGAUGGAGAGGCACCCGAGCCAGGGGGAAUCCCAAAGAGAACAAUUUCCAUCAUGGGCCCAGGGUUCUCCAGCACAGGCCCAGACACAGCACUUAACACCAAGGCACCUGUCAACUGGGGAGGGGAGAGGUGGUCGGUGCCUAAAUGAGUUUCUCUUUCCCCUGAAGAGUCACAUUCUGAGUGUGCUCUGCAAAGACAGCGCAAAGGUUAAUCAUCCAAGGUAUUUCAGAGUCAGUACAGACCAAACCCUUUUUCUGAAAGUUGGUUUUGCUAUUAGGGAGAGAUCUAGUCUCCCAAGACCACAGAAAUCCCUAGGGGUUCCUGCACUCACAAGGUGGAGAGGGGGAAAAAUGAAGAAACAUGGCAAAGCCUCAGCAGUAAAUCUUUUCAAACAGCCCCUUUGAGGGAGACUUGCCAUUCACCCGGAUUUUUAGGUGGGCUAAGUGCAGUCUUCACCAAACUUUGCUAGCGAUGUGCUUGUCCAGGGGACCAGCUGGGAACUAGCGGAGGACCCAGAGGAUGUAACAGAGCGAGGUCGUAAGAAUCCUGAUGCACAGAGCAAGGCAGAGAUUUGAUAAGAGUUCAGUCUUCUACCAAUGUCGGAACUCACAGCAUGUUUUUUUCCGAGAAGCGCUGAGUGUUUUCCAGAUGACACAUUCAUCUUCCCAGAGCCCGGGGAAUGGAAAGCCGGAGGCCGCAGGGGCAGGGGUGUGGGGCUGAGGAGGCAGACCUCUCAGGGUGUGCUCACCCCGCCCCCCACCCCAGAGAGCCGAUGGGUGGUGCGGGUACCAGGACAGCCCUAUCCUCAUGCCUCCUCCUUCCGCUCCGUUGCUGCCCUUGCUGCCAACCCUCCUGCCGGGGUCACUACAAACCGUGACCCUCACCUUUCUCUCUUUACAGCAGCCUGACUUUGCUGAUAAGCAAUAAGCCAAAAUAAGAGACUUCAAAGAGUGGAUAAGGGGGGAAAGGGGCCACGGGAAGAUCUGCCAAAAGAAAAAAAGCAAUGAGCUCACGGAGCAUGAGUCUUGCCUUCUGUCCCUGGCCCCGGGGCUCCCCUGCCCGAAAACGGGGCGGUGUGUCUGUUCCAGAUCAACGGGCCUGGCUCCCUUCUCAGCCUCCGUAUGGGAAGACAAUGGAGAUAUCUAGUGGUGAGCUCAGGGUGCUGGCCUGAGCAAACUGAACAGUGCCCACCCCUGCGCCUUAGGACAGCGCCUGGCUCAGGGCGCACCCCGGAGUGUCUGCUAUGGGGUCGUACUUGCAUCGCAUUCUCCGGCUUGGAAAGUGUUUGCUGACUUUCUCCCCUUCACUCCCCAUAACUACCACACAGUAGGGGCCAGUAGGGGCCCUGACACUGUAGUGAAACAUGAGACAAAGAGCAAGAGGAGGGACGUGCACCUACAUCUUCCCAUUCUGUUACUCUCAUUAAUCUCCAGAAAAGAGAGGGUCUGACCUGGUGAAAAGAGCAUGGGGUGCAGGUGGGAAGAACAGGUUCUGAUGCCCAGGAUGGCCAGAAAGGAACCUGGAGAUCUAGCGGAGAGAUGGCACGGGAGUUCCUUUUAUAUGCCAACUCCGAUUUUCAGCAGUGGCCUUACGACAAGAGCCAGGAGGACCCUGGGGCUGCUCAGUGGGGCAGUGUGCUGUGAUAGAUUAGCCAUGUCAGCCCCAGACAUGGUAAGAGCUGAUGGGACCAGGAUGUCACUAUGUCACCACGAUGUCAUCCAUUGGCUGUAUUUUCUUUUUCCAGUGUUCCUAUUUCUUUUGUAGCCAAUUAAAUAAAUUUCAUCAGAAAAUUAAUCUAUUCUACGUUAUACAGCUGGAUUGUAGCUGUGCCGAGAUUUGAAUCCAGGCCUCUGAACUACAAGUCCAGUACCGUCUUCACUAUGUCAUGCUGUCCAGGUCCUAAUACCAGUUAUGUUCCCAUAAAUGUGGAUGCAUGGGUUCUCCCCUGCCUCUGUUUCUUCACUUGCAGAUUAGAGGAGAUCAUCCCUGUUUUCUCCAUCUCACAGAAUUACUGGCAAUCAAACAAAAGGCCAGAAUCCCAGCACUCUGAGCUCCCAGGCCCGUGUUCUUGCUGCUGCACCCUGUUGCUAUCAAUAGACAUGAAAACACUGAAAGGCAGAAGCGGCCCUAAAAAUGCAGAGUAGUAGUAUGGGAAGCGAGGAGUCUGAAGCCCUAGGUUCUGCUUCAGUUGCAUCUGCUCCACACCUGGUGGCUUUCUCUCCACAGCCCCACAUGCAGAAGCUCAGGAAGGAGGAGAACGGAAGAGAACCAAGGCUAACAAUGGAGGCAGCACCCCCGCCCCCUGACGACUCCCCAGGGGCAGCUGCUUCUGGGGAUGUCCAGAAGCUGCAUCCUCUCAUAUCCCUCUCAGCCCUCUGUCCUGCCCUCCAGAUUGGCUGUCCCAGACCUAGUCACCACACUGAGCGGUGUUCCUGGAACCCGGGACGCUGCAGUUCAAAAGAGGAUGAUGACAGUAGGGCCUGGGGAUAGUGGGGCUGGAGGUCCUGGGUCUCCACUUGCGGGCUCCCCUUUGUCUCCUUCUUCUGCUCCCUCCUCAUCAAAGUCUCCAUCUAAGGAGUAAGUAAGCUUCCACUGCUCUCAAUCCUGUCUUUCCCUCCUCCUGACACCCUAAUUGGUCCAACCACGUUGCCCAUCUUCUGUGGUUCUCUUCAGGCUCAACAACAUGUCAACUUCAAGGAAAGGCAACCACCUCCCCUUCCCCACAUGCAUAUUCCAGUAGUGGUUUUUGGUGUUGCGCAUAAAAAUAGUCCCUGCACCCGCCUCAUCUCUCCUCAUAGGAUGGGAGUUGCUGGAGAGUGGAGGUCACGAUUCGGCCUAGAGUUGUCUGAAAAAAAGGGAGAUCACCCAUCUUAACUAGCCUCAGACUCAUAGGAUUGUAGGGCUGAAAGGAACUAGGAUGUUCAUCUUGUCUAGUCAACCACAUAAGUCCUAAAAGUAUCCUUGAACACAGAGACCUGCCUAGCUCCCACGCAGCCCAUUUUGGGGUUCCAAGAAGCUCCCACCCAUCAUGUUUAUGUUUCGAUUGUCUCCACUAGCUAGAACGUAAACUCCACAAGGAUGAGGAAUUUUGUCUAUUUUAUUCAUUACUGCAUCUCCAAUGCCUAGAAUAGUGCUUGGCAUGUGGCAAGUACUUAAUAAAUACUUGUUGAAUUAAUUAAUAAUUGGUUUUGUUUCUAGCCUUUGGGGUCUUUCAAAAGAGCUUAAACAUUUUUGCCUGCUAUAUGAUGGUGUCUCAAAUAAUUCAAGACACCUGCCAUGUCUUCUCCCUCCCUAAGCUCUUACAGUCCCUUGAACGUUACCUGAAGAAUAUCCUGAUCCUUUGCCACCUCGGGAUGUUCUCUGAAUGUGCUCCAGAAUCACAAAGCAAGGAGGACACCUGGAAUUUCCCCAGCUAGCCCAUGCUGUCAUUCUACAGGCUAUGAUCUGGUCUUUGGACACCAAAGCCCAGGCUGCCUCGCCACCUUGUAACCAAAAGCAGCUACGUUAGAGGGGCAUGAAGCACUCCCAAAGUGGAUGCCGUCUUCACGUGUGGGCCGUGCUCCCCUGACAUAGAGGGCCGGGCCAGUAAACAGAUGGAGAACUCCCAAAGGGCUCACCUGUGGUAGUCCCAACAGAACACAUAAGAUGCAUGGAGAUGGUCUCUGCCCUCAGAGUCUGCAGUGGGACAAAUGGAUAAGUCAACGUGCAAUUACAUCCUAGCGAGAUAAAUCGUCGAUGCCCUAUCAUGAACACACCAGAGGCUUGCUCUGUGCGCUUUACUCUGGUGACUGAGCAAGACAUUCCUCUCUCUGAACAUCCUUGGAGCCUUAAAUAACUGAAGGAAGACAGUGGAGUGUUUCUACCUGUACAUUUUUCACAUCAUUUUGAAACUCCCAAAGACAGAUUUUCUGAAAGCUGUUGUGACUGUUUACUCUGUGUUGGGAGCUGGGCCCAUAAUAGGUCUUCAACAACUGUUUGUUAGAUAAGUAGCUGCAGGAUCUUCACAAAAACUCUACAAGGUAAGCAUGUUUAGCCCCAUUUUACAGAAGAGGGAAGUGUGUUGCCACUUGGAGGUGAGGACAGGUACAUAUCUACAUAGGGCCUGGCAAAGGAUAACCACAGAUAGCUGGCAGCAACUGGAUGCACAGCCCAUGACAGCAUUGUCUUUUGCAAGCACUGACGGAUGCAAAGCUGGACAUGCCAAACAUGGUCUGCAAGUGUCCUGGACUCUGGAGGAGGGAGACUGCUCUGGGCUGGAUUGUGUGGAGACUGGGGGGAACAGGCAGGCUUCCAGUGCUGGGCUGGUCCUACCAAGCUGUGGUGCUCUCUGCAUCCCAGUUUCCUUGCUCUGGACACAGUUCUCCUCUGAUCAGACUGGUGGUGAGGGUCAGUGGCACUGUGGCAGCCAGUCCUGCUCUGACCCGAGGCAUGCUGGCAUGGAAGGGGACCAUGGCCUAGAGAUCUCUACAAAGGUAGCUCAGUAGGACACAUUGCACGAUGGAAAGUAAUUGUCGGGGAGGUGGUGUCAGACUAUGCUUAAAGGAGGUUCUAGUCUCCUGAACUCAGGUCUAUAGCAUUUUGGGGCUCUGCCCCCAGAAAUCCACUUCCAACCUGGGAUCUCCCAGAUGACUGAUUCCUUUGAGUCACCUCUACCAUCCAGCUCUGGGAAGAGUAUGUAACUGAAGCUAAGACACAGGGUGGCAAGAAGCCUUGAGCCCACGGAGAGGUACUUACUUGGUCCCUCUCUUCAAGAGGUCUGGAGUCCAGCUGGGACAAUGGGGAGGCCCUGUGUCAGGACUGACCAUCAAUCAAAGAAACUGGCUUUGUUUGUUAUUUAAGGAAUUAUCCUACUCUAGGUUUGUGUAUAAUCUUGUUUACUUCCUCAACCAAGACACAAGUGCCCCAAGGGUGGAGGUUUUGUCUUCUAAGUCUCUGACCCCAUGGUUCUAACUAAUAGAAGGCAUUCUAGGCCUGUUGUAGAGUGAUGGGUGGGCAACUGGCUGAAUCAAGUGGAUUAGUCUUAAAUCAGAGUCCCAUAGGCCUAGAAGGAUGGACCGGCUGAAGGGUUAACUGCAAAGAGAUGUGGUCCUGCCUGGAGCUGGGCCACAUGGCCAGUUCCAGGAUUCAAGUGUGAGUAGCACACAGCUUCUCAGGUCAAGGAGCUCAAUCCAGAAAGGGCUAUGGUUCAAUCAACAGUACAGGAGGCCACAGAGCCUGUAUGAAAGACACAGAAUGGUUAUGAAAAUGCAGACUCUGAAGCCAGAUCAGGAGUUCAAAUCCCAACUCUAAAGAGAUAUGUGAUCUUGAGCAAAUACUUCAAUUUCUCUCUGUCUCAAGUUCCUCAUCUAGAGGUGGCCAUAAUAAUAACAGCUCCCAGGAUCGUUGGAUCGAGAAUUACAUGAGUUGAGAUAUAUGAAAUAUCUGGAAACACAUGCGUGCUGGCUAUCAAUGUGUGGUAGAGGCUGGGGGCAGGGGGCGGGGAGGGA
Molecule: long non-coding RNA, 6442 nt
Organism: Canis lupus familiaris (dog)
Lineage: Eukaryota; Metazoa; Chordata; Mammalia; Carnivora; Canidae
Exons: 3
Source: RefSeq, a predicted model, not a curated record